Long non-coding RNA from Homalodisca vitripennis (glassy-winged sharpshooter), 1667 nucleotides. RefSeq lists it as uncharacterized. The transcript has 2 exons. The record is from RefSeq and is a predicted model, not a curated record. Lineage: Eukaryota; Metazoa; Arthropoda; Insecta; Hemiptera; Cicadellidae.
UCAUAGAGUGUUAGACCUACUACAGUCGAACUGUCCUAUAACUACUGUGCACUGUAGCCUUGUCACUGACCUCGAAAUAUGUGUCUGACAACUUUAAGGUAGUCAAGAAACCAUUUAAAAGCUACUUGUCUAGUUUCGUUUUUAACUUUUUUUCUUCUGGGAGUAAAACAUGUUGCAAUCAAAACUGUUUUAUAGAGUAUAUAGUUUACCGACAACAUGUUUCCCAUAGUUUUUAUAAAAAGCUAUAGAUUUUAUAAUAUUGUUUAAACCAGUGUUUGUGAUUACCGUUUCCUUAAUGUCUCAAAAGCUGUUAAAAAAAUAAUUGUUACUAGAUAUUUGUUACUGCUCAAGACAACUACGGCUACUAUCAGAACCAAAAUCGAUGGAUCUUGAAACGUAGUGUUCUUCUUAAAUCAUUGGACGAUGGCAAAUAUGUCUAGAACAUCCCGUUUCCUUCACAAUUAAUCCAUCGCCAGAAACAAAAUCUAGACCAAUAACUGGCUCCCAUGUGAGUUUCAUCAAAGGCUGUUGGGAUGUCGCAAUCAAGAAGAUGUAUAGGUAUAGGUUGUACAUAAUAAAUAUUGUCCUCAUAAAUAUAGAAUGCUCUUUUAAAUUGAGUUAUAUUUUACUAUAGAAUUCGCUAAGCAAUUUCUUGAUAAAAUGUUUAAAAUAUAUUUAAAUAAGACUGUACAGAAUUAAUUUAUGAGCCAGUAUCUAAUCACUCGCCUCCGGCAGAGUUGAAUGGUACACAUUGUACUGACAUGCAUUAUCAGAAUACCAAUAUUCUAAUACCCUCCGGCUGACAUAUUCCCACUCUAGGUCAACCAUAAACUCAUCAAAAUCCGAUAAAGGUUACGAUCUGAUUAACAACAGUUGAACAGAUCACGUGUGAACACUAUUCUAAUACCCUCUAGCUGAUAAUAUAUACCCAUAACUGGGUCGACCUGAAACUCAUCAAAAUCCCUUAAAGGUUACGGUCUGAUUGUUUUUGGUCUGAUUAACAACAGUUGAACACAUCAGUCAAUUACAAAAAAAGUUACAGUCAGUUCGGUAAAGACUUGCUUACCAUUUUUUUUUUUUUUUUUUUCAUUUUUCGGUACUCGGACUGUAUCUGUUUCCUUUCUUUAAUAAGCAUAUGCUUGUCUUACCCUCUUUCUUAUAUCUCUUUCUUUUUACAGUGUAUUUAGUGAUGAUGGCUUUAAAAUAAAGUACAUUAAUUGUAAUUAAAACAUUUAAAAAUCCGAGUGUAAGAUAGAGAGGUAAGAAAGAUGUUUUCUCUUGAAAUACUAAAUUAUUUGUUUUUUGGAUUAGCGGUAUAAUUACGAAGCUCUACGCCAUUUAUAUUACUAAACGAAUUGAAUAUUUGUUCGUAUUAAUGACAUGACCUAUUUAAAAAAAUGUGUUUAUUUUAGAUGAGAGUGUGCAUGUUUUUGUACAUUUUAUGCUUGAAAAGAGGCAUCCCCUUCUUAACACCAAUAAAGUUAUUAAGCAAUUAAAAUUUGAUUUAGUGGUUCAUUUCACUUCAAAUGCUUAAAAUUACAAAUUUUAGCAUAAUCACUAAACUUUUUGUUUUACAGAUAUAAUGUAUUAUUGUGUUGUAUACUACAGUACAUGCAUGUAAAUAAAUUUAUGAUUUCUUAAUAUAUAAAAAAAUUCCUUAUCAAUGA